Molecule: ribosomal RNA, 440 nt
Filed under: uncultured bacterium
Lineage: Bacteria
Description: bacterial SSU rRNA
Rfam family: Bacterial small subunit ribosomal RNA
Source: RNAcentral
UGGGGAAUAUUGGACAAUGGGCGCAAGCCUGAUCCAGCCAUGCCGCGUGUGUGAAGAAGACCCUCAGGUUGUAAAGCACUUUCAGUGGGGAAGAAAGCCUGGUGGUUAAUACCCGUCAGGAAGGACAUCACCCACAGAAGAAGCACCGGCUAACUCCGUGCCAGCAGCCGCGGUAAUACGGAGGGUGCGAGCGUUAAUCGGAAUUACUGGGCGUAAAGCGCGCGUAGGUGGCUUGAUAAGCCGGUUGUGAAAGCCCCGGGCUCAACCUGGGAACGGCAUCCGGAACUGUCAGGCUAGAGUGCAGGAGAGGAAGGUAGAAUUCCCGGUGUAGCGGUGAAAUGCGUAGAGAUCGGGAGGAAUACCAGUGGCGAAGGCGGCUUACUGGACGGUAACUGACGUUGAGGCUCGAAAGCGUGGGGAGCAAACAGGAUUAGAUACCC